Molecule: ribosomal RNA, 487 nt
Filed under: uncultured bacterium
Lineage: Bacteria
Description: bacterial SSU rRNA
Rfam family: Bacterial small subunit ribosomal RNA
Source: RNAcentral
GACGAACGCUGGCGGCGUGCUUAACACAUGCAAGUCGAACGAAAGGACGGGAAGAGCUUGCUCUUUCCGGAAUUGAGUGGCAAACGGGUGAGUAACACGUAAACAACCUGCCUUCAGGAUGGGGACAACAGACGGAAACGACUGCUAAUACCGAAUAAGUUCCAAGAGCCGCAUGGCCCAUGGAAGAAAAGGUGGCCUCUACCUGUAAGCUAUCGCCUGAAGAGGGGUUUGCGUCUGAUUAGCUGGUUGGAGGGGUAACGGCCCACCAAGGCGACGAUCAGUAGCCGGUCUGAGAGGAUGAACGGCCACACUGGAACUGAGACACGGUCCAGACUCCUACGGGAGGCAGCAGUGGGGAAUCUUCCGCAAUGGGCGAAAGCCUGACGGAGCAACUCCGCGUGAGUGAAGAAGUAUUCGGUAUGUAAAGCUCUAUCAGCAGGAAAGAAAAUAGACGGUACCUGACUAAGAAGCCCCGGCUAACUACGUG